ACUCAAAUGAAUUGACGGGGACCCGCACAAGCAGAGGAUGAUGUGGUUUAAUAUGACGCUACGCGUAGAACCUUACCAAGGCUUGACAUCCUAGGAACCCACUGGAAACAGAGGGGUGCCUUCGGGAGCCUAGUGACAGGUGCUGCAUGGCCGUCGUCAGCUCGUGUCGUGAGAUGUUGGGUUAAGUCCCGCAACGAGCGCAACCCUUAUCGUAUGUUGUAUUUUUCAUGCGAGACUGCCCGGGCCAACCGGGAGGAAGGUGGGGAUGACGUCAGGUCGGCAUGGCCCUUACGCCUUGGGCUACUCACGUCAUACAAUGGCCAGUACAACGCGCUGCGAUACCGCGAGGUGGAGCAAAUCGCAUCAAAACUGGUCUCAGUUCGGAUUGGAGGCUGCAACUCGCCUCCAUGAAGUCGGAUUUGCUAGUAAACGUGGGUCAGCACACCACGUUGAAUACGUUCCCGGGUCUUGUACACACCGCCCGU
This 485-nucleotide ribosomal RNA is filed under the name uncultured bacterium. RNAcentral's name for it is "partial 16S ribosomal RNA". It matches the Rfam family "Bacterial small subunit ribosomal RNA", at positions 899 to 1397 of the family's 1533-position model. The record is from RNAcentral.